RNAcentral lists this ribosomal RNA (466 nucleotides) under uncultured bacterium. Its description in RNAcentral is "partial 16S ribosomal RNA". It matches the Rfam family "Bacterial small subunit ribosomal RNA", at positions 28 to 507 of the family's 1533-position model. The record is from RNAcentral.
GACGAACGCUGGCGGCGUGCUUAACACAUGCAAGUCGAACGAUGAAGCCUAGCUUGCUGGGUGGAUUAGUGGCGAACGGGUGAGUAACACGUGAGUAACCUGCCCCUUACUCUGGGAUAAGCGCUGGAAACGGCGUCUAAUACUGGAUAUUACCUUUCAUCGCAUGGUGUUUGGUGGAAAGAUUUUUCGGUUUGGGAUGGACUCGCGGCCUAUCAGCUUGAUGGUGAGGUAGUGGCUCACCAUGGCGACGACGGGUAGCCGGCCUGAGAGGGUGACCGGCCACAUUGGGACUGAGACACGGCCCAGACUCCUACGGGAGGCAGCAGUGGGGAAUAUUGCACAAUGGGCGCAAGCCUGAUGCAGCAACGCCGCGUGAGGGAUGACGGCCUUCGGGUUGUAAACCUCUUUUAGUAGGGAAGAAGCGUAAGUGACGGUACCUACAGAAAAAGCACCGGCUAACUACGUG